Molecule: non-coding RNA, 94 nt
Organism: Blastosporella zonata
Lineage: Eukaryota; Fungi; Basidiomycota; Agaricomycetes; Agaricales; Lyophyllaceae
Source: the annotation of a GenBank genome assembly
GGUGACAUGGCCGAGCGGUCUAAGGCGCUAGAAUCAGGUGUUGUUAACCCUCAUCUAGUCCGAAAGGGCGGGAGUUCGAAUCUCCCUGUCAUCA